RNAcentral lists this long non-coding RNA (543 nucleotides) under Hordeum vulgare. RNAcentral's name for it is "long non-coding RNA (HVUL_LNC020158)". Lineage: Eukaryota; Viridiplantae; Streptophyta; Magnoliopsida; Poales; Poaceae. The record is from RNAcentral.
AAAAGUGUAAGGCUCAAAAUAUGGUGUGGAUUAGACCCCGGGGGCCAUAGUGUUCACUAGAGGCUUCUCUCAUAAUAGCAAAUAUCACGGUGGGUGAAUAAAUUACUGUCGAGCAAUUGAUAGAACCGCGCAAAGUCAUGACGAUAUCUAAGGCAAUGAUCAUGCAUAUAGGCAUCACGUCUGAGACAAGUAGACCGAUACUUUCUGCAUCUACUACUAUUACUCCACACAUCGACCGCUAUCCAGCAUGCAUCUAGUGUAUUGAGUUUAUGACGAACAGAGUAACGCUUUAAGCAAGAUCACAUGAUGUAGAGGGAUAAUCUCAAACCAAUGAUGAAAACCCCAUCUUUUUACCCUUGAUGGCAACAACGCGAUGCGUGCCUCGCUACCCCUUUUGUCACUGGGUGAGGUCACCGCACGGUAUGAACCCCAAACCAAGCACUUCUCCCAUUGCAAGAAUCAUAGAUCUAGUUGUCCAGACAAAACCCACAACUCGAAGAGAAUUAUAAGGAUAUGAAAUCAUGCAUAAGAGAGAUCAGAAGA